GGAGGCAGAGGCAGAGGCUGAGAAGGGAGGGGGGGAAACGGAGGAGGUCCCAGACCAGACUAGACCAGACCAGACCAGACCAUAUCCUCCUUCCCCAGCUGCAGAACCACCCCAACGCCCACAACCACAUGCUGCAGGACCCGGGACGUGACUCCUGGCUGUCAAUUCUUAUUUUUACGUGGUGGUGGUAGGGAAAUGUGAGGAUUUCCAAGUGUGGACUGAAGGCACUAAAUACCGAACUGGAGACUGCUGUUGGUCAGCAAACCACUGAAGUCUGAGGAUGCUUCAGUAGUCAAGCAAUUAUAGAUUGGAAUAUAAUCCCCUUGGCAGUGCUGAGAGAAUCAGUUUGUUCCUCUUGAACAAUGUAAACUGAGGAUAUUUACUUCAUGCAAGAACGCACGCAGGACACUCGGAUCUU
Long non-coding RNA from Mus musculus (house mouse), 418 nucleotides. RefSeq annotates it as predicted gene, 33102. The transcript is spliced from 4 exons. Lineage: Eukaryota; Metazoa; Chordata; Mammalia; Rodentia; Muridae. The record is from RefSeq and is a predicted model, not a curated record.